UAAUAUAUCUUAUACAUACUAUGCUCUGAUACCAUGUUGGACUCUUUGAUUAAUUGCUACUUUUCUAACAUGGUUUAGUAGACGCCUUAUAUACUGCAGGUGUAUGGCGGGUCUGUGCAUGUAUCGGGUAUGCUUCUGCUGGUACCCGGGCGUGAUAGUACACAUCCCCUUCCUUCACCCACACUGCCAUCCCAUCGUACUCCCUAUACCUCCCCUCAAUUCUACAUCCCAACUACUCCCUCUUCUCCAUCAUCCCUAUUCCCUUCUUCCAGACACUCCCUUCCCUCCCUCUCUCAUUCUAUCCAUUUUGCGAUGCCUGUGCAU
RNAcentral lists this long non-coding RNA (324 nucleotides) under Ananas comosus (pineapple). Its description in RNAcentral is "long non-coding RNA (ACOM_LNC044252)". Lineage: Eukaryota; Viridiplantae; Streptophyta; Magnoliopsida; Poales; Bromeliaceae. The record is from RNAcentral.